GCCACUCUCGACCCGCGAUAUGAUAUGUGCCCGGCCGCAAGUGUUUCUCAAACACAGCGCUUCAGGCAUGAAAAUGGGUCAGGGGUUGAAAAGGUGAGAAGGGUGCGGAGGAAAUACGUUCCGGUGUUGUGCCGUAGAAUGCACCCCUGCAUCCCGUCCACUCAUUAGCUUCUUAAAGUGGAAGAAAAUGAGCUCAUAUUCUACAAAGAUGCAAGUAUUUGAAUCAUGGCUACUAGCAGGGGGUGCAUUCGGCAGGGGUGCAUUCUACAACACAACACCGAGGUGGAUAAGUCCUGCUUCUCGUGCUCAGUUUGCGUAUCAAGUCAAUCACAUGAUAAUUAAAAAAAAUAAAUCUCCC
Molecule: non-coding RNA, 358 nt
Organism: Xyrichtys novacula (pearly razorfish)
Lineage: Eukaryota; Metazoa; Chordata; Actinopteri; Labriformes; Labridae
Source: the annotation of a GenBank genome assembly